GUGAAUCAUCAAAUCUUUGAACGCAUGUUGCACUUUCUGGUAUUCCGGAGAGUAUGCCUAUUUGAGGGUCAUUUGAAAUAAUAUAAAAUUUGAGAUCUUUCUGGAAUUAAAAAUGGGACGGUCUAGCUUUUGUGCGGUGGUAGUGUAAAAUGCAAGACAAGCUCCUUUCUUGGGUUGUGUGAUAUUGUC
Molecule: unclassified non-coding RNA, 189 nt
Filed under: Archaeospora sp.
Lineage: Eukaryota; Fungi; Glomeromycota; Glomeromycetes; Archaeosporales; Archaeosporaceae
Description: partial contains 5.8S ribosomal RNA and internal transcribed spacer 2
Rfam family: 5.8S ribosomal RNA (bases 1-71)
Source: RNAcentral